RNAcentral lists this ribosomal RNA (256 nucleotides) under uncultured archaeon. Its description in RNAcentral is "partial 16S ribosomal RNA". It matches the Rfam family "Archaeal small subunit ribosomal RNA", at positions 727 to 982 of the family's 1478-position model. The record is from RNAcentral.
GACAUUAGAUACCCGGGUAGUCCAGGGUGUAAACGCUGCAGACUUGGUGUUGGAAGUCCUUUGGGGGCAUUCAGUGCCGGAGAGAAGUUGUUAAGUCUGCUACUUGGGGAGUACGUCCGCAAGGAUGAAACUUAAGGAAUUGGCGGGGGAGCACCGCAACGGGAGGAGCGUGCGGUUUAAUUGGAUUCAACACCGUAAACUCACCAGGGAAGACUGUUACAUGAAAGCCGAGAUGAAGACUCUGCUAGAUUUUCAG